RNAcentral lists this ribosomal RNA (503 nucleotides) under uncultured bacterium. Its description in RNAcentral is "partial 16S ribosomal RNA". It matches the Rfam family "Bacterial small subunit ribosomal RNA", at positions 30 to 523 of the family's 1533-position model. The record is from RNAcentral.
AUUGAACGCUGGCGGCAGGCUUAACACAUGCAAGUCGAGCGGAGUGAUGGUGCUUGCACUAUCACUUAGCGGCGGACGGGUGAGUAAUGCUUAGGAAUCUGCCUAUUAGUGGGGGACAACAUCGCGAAAGGGAUGCUAAUACCGCAUACGUCCUACGGGAGAAAGCAGGGGAUCACUUGUGACCUUGCGCUAAUAGAUGAGCCUAAGGCGGAUUAGCUAGUUGGUGGGGUAAAGGCCUACCAAGGCGACGAUCUGUAGCGGGUCUGAGAGGAUGAUCCGCCACACUGGGACUGAGACACGGCCCAGACUCCUACGGGAGGCAGCAGUGGGGAAUAUUGGACAAUGGGGGGAACCCUGAUCCAGCCAUGCCGCGUGUGUGAAGAAGGCCUUAUGGUUGUAAAGCACUUUAAGCGAGGAGGAGGCCCUUUUGGUUAAUACCCAAGAUGAGUGGACGUUACUCGCAGAAUAAGCACCGGCUAACUCUGUGCCAGCCGCCGCGGUAA